GACGAACGCUGGCGGCGUGCCUAAUACAUGCAAGUCGAACGAAGCUGUUUUAACUGGUGCUUGCACCGACUUAAACAACUGAGUGGCGAACGGGUGAGUAACACGUGGGUAACCUGCCCCAAAGCGGGGGAUAACAUUUGGAAACAGAUGCUAAUACCGCAUAGCCACAGAAACCACAUGGUUUCUGUGUCAAAGAUGGUUUCGGCUAUCACUUUGGGAUGGACCCGCGGCGUAUUAGCUAGUUGGUAAGGUAAUGGCUUACCAAGGCAAUGAUACGUAGCCGAACUGAGAGGUUGAUCGGCCACAUUGGGACUGAGACACGGCCCAAACGCCUACGGGAGGCAGCAGUAGGGAAUCUUCCACAAUGGACGAAAGUCUGAUGGAGCAACGCCGCGUGAGUGAAGAAGGUUUUCGGAUCGUAAAACUCUGUUGUCAGAGAAGAACGUGUGCGAGAGUAACUGUUCGUGCAGUGACGGUAUCUGGCCAGAAAGCCACGGCUAACUACGUGCCAGCCGCCGCCGUAA
This 524-nucleotide ribosomal RNA is filed under the name uncultured bacterium. RNAcentral's name for it is "partial 16S ribosomal RNA". It matches the Rfam family "Bacterial small subunit ribosomal RNA", at positions 28 to 523 of the family's 1533-position model. The record is from RNAcentral.